CGGUAGGUGGCUUUGGGGUCGCCCCAGGAGUCCAGCUGCGAGAGGUAGGACGGGUAGGUGUUGAGGGCGAGGUUGGGGCUGCUGCCCUCGUCCCUCUUGGAGAGCGAGGGCGCGAGCCCGCAGCCCCUCAUCACCCCGCAGUUGAAGUCACUCCCAGAUUGCAUAUACAUGCCUGCGCUCCGGCUAUAGCGCUCUCCUCCGCCGGGCGCAGCCAAGGGCUCAGCGUACGAGUUCGGAGUUACAUUGCGAGGGCAUGUCAUUUUCAGAGAGAGGGGUUUUUAAGGAGCAAUACUACAGCGGAGGAGCUGACAUCUUUUUUUUUCCCCAUCCGGGAGGGGGGGCGGUUGGAGGGGCGGGAGGGAAAAGAAGGGGAGGGGGGGGGAAAUAUCAGCUCCAUAAUUAUCCGCGCAUUCAGUCCUCACCAUGUGACGGCUAGACCAAUGGGAUUUGAAAAUGGCCUUGAUGAUUCAGACGGCCGUGACGUCAGCGGGGUCAAGUUGUCGGCAGGCGGAGCGCGCAGCGUGGAGUAACAGCGCCACCUAGCAGCCGCCUCGGGGUAGGGGCGCAGGAGCCCUUCCCCGCGAACAAAGGAAGCGCCCCCGGGGCGGCAGGGGCAGGAGAGGGGUGGAGGAAGGUGGGAGGGGGGGUUCUAGGAAGAAUGGGGUUUGUUUACCCGGGAACAAGCCUGUAACUCUUGGGGAAAGUGGGGCGGAGAGGGGGGAAAUGCAGGAGAGAGGGAGAGAUCAAGGCAUCUCGGGGCUCAAAACAGUCAAAUUCAAAUUAAAAGGUCAAGACACGAUUCAGGUACUUCUUCCCUUCGCUUCACCUCUUCUUUUCCUCUCCUGGCCUCUGGGCCCCGCUUCUUCCCUUGGGAUGGGUGUGGGGUGAACUUGGUGGGGAGGGCUCCAGUGGGCAGAGAAAGGGAGAAAAAGUUAAGGAAUCCCAAACAGAACUAAACUUCCUGCUCUCCCGCGUCCCGGUUCGCCGGGCUUGGCCCGGGAGCUCAGUUCCCGGACCUCUCCGCUCAUGGAAGCUGGUUGAGUUCUAAGUGCCCCGUGGGGCUUGACGGAGGAACCUCCCGUGUCUGGAGUGGACCAAGGAGGGGGUCACCAUCACUUCAGGACUGCUCCAGGAGGGUAAAGGAGGUUUCCAGUGGAUCUAGGGGUCGGGGGAGGAGGAAGCCGAAGACCAGAGGCACCGGCUCCCCGACCCCGGGAGCGCAGCCCGGCCUUUGCAGGGUGGGCGGCUCCUGGGUCACCAUCUCAGGGGCUGGAAGGCUUUGGCCUUGGAGUCGGUUCGGCUGCUUUGCUGCAGGCCUUGGCGGCCCUCGCUUUCCAAUUGACCUUGCCCCCACUAAAACAGGGAAUAUUCCCAGAGAGAAAGAGGGAGCCUGCGGGGCCUCCGCUGGUUUGUGGGGAGUCACGUAUCACACGGGGAAACUAGGACACCAGAUGCGACAAAAUCCUACCCAGAGACGUGUCCUUUGCAGAGCGAAUGGGCUGGGGGGGGGGCGUUUUUAAAUGGGGGAGAGGAACCAGCCUGUUUUUGUGGGUUUUAUUUUUUAAUAAAGGGAAAGGAGAAAU
This 1583-nucleotide long non-coding RNA is filed under the name Lynx pardinus (Iberian lynx). The record is from RNAcentral. Lineage: Eukaryota; Metazoa; Chordata; Mammalia; Carnivora; Felidae.